GACGAACGCUGGCGGCGUGCCUAAUACAUGCUUGUCGAGCGAAGCUCCGCCGGAGGCUUGCCUUUGGCGGAUGACUUAGCGGCGGACGGGUGAGUAACGCGUGGGCAACCUACCCUCGAGUCCGGGACAACCCUGGGAAACCGGGGCUAAUACCGGAUGUGCCCCGUGGCCGAUGGUCAUGGGGGAAAGGUGGCUUCUGCUUGCAAGCUACCGCUUGGGGAUGGGCCCGCGUCCCAUUAGCUGGUUGGUGGGGUAAGGGCCCACCAAGGCGACGAUGGGUAGCCGGUCUGAGAGGAUGGCCGGCCACACUGGGACUGAGACACGGCCCAGACUCCUACGGGAGGCGGCAGUCGGGAAUAUUGGGCAAUGGGCGAAAGCCUGACCCAGCGACGCCGCGUGGGGGAGGAAGGCCUUCGGGUCGUAAACCCCUGUCUUCGGGGACGAACGGUCCACCGGCGAACACCCGGUGGAGGUGACGGUACCCGAGGAGGAAGCCCCGGCCAACUACGUGCCAGCAGCCGCGGUAACGCGUAGGGGGCGAGCGUUGUCCGGAAUUACUGGGCGUAAAGCGCGUGUAUGCUGCUGGUGAAGUCGGGUGCGAAAGCCGCCGGCUUCAACUGGCGGAAUGCACUCGAGACUCCCCGGCUUGGAGGGCAGGGAGAGGGAAGCGGAAUUCCGGGUGAGCGGUGGGAAUUGCGUAGAUUAUCGGGAAGGAUCCUAUUGGCGAAGGCGGCUUCCUGGGCCGGACUUGAACCCUAAGAGCCGAAAGCUAGG
This 774-nucleotide ribosomal RNA is filed under the name uncultured bacterium. RNAcentral describes it as "bacterial SSU rRNA". It matches the Rfam family "Bacterial small subunit ribosomal RNA", at positions 28 to 764 of the family's 1533-position model. The record is from RNAcentral.